UAAAGUUUUUUUUUUUCUCCAAAACUCUUUUUUCUCUUCAUUCAACACUUCUCUCUUCCUUACCCUCACGCUGCCGCACUCCUUAACGCCGUCGAUCUCCCACUCGUCUACACUGCCGGUUGCCCAGCCACCUCCUCAGGCCGCCGAUCUGCUAGCCACCACUCUAAUCUAGCCUAGCCAUCGCUCUAGUCUAGCCUAGCCACCACCCACCACACCGCCCAAGCCACCGCGGCCGUCGUCGACCUCCAUACCCAUUCCUAGUUGAGACUUUGAGAGAUUUUGAGGUAACAACGCUUGGCGUCUUGUAGAGCGUGCAGAGAGGUAUAUGUAAAACUCUAUCUUCGUAAAGAUGGUACUCCUGUUAACACUGAAGCAGAAAGCAACAUUGAAAAAAUUAACAAACUGUUGAGUGAGUCUUCAAAUCGUGUGCAAUCAUCCGACCUUACUAGAAGUAUUGCAUGGGCACCAGAUGAUAUAUAUGCUCAAGUGUUUGGUAAUGAGCGCAAUGGUCGUGUUUGAGGUGUGGGAUUUGGCCCAACCCCAAGUAUGCAUCCUAUCAAGAGCACUCCUGCAAUUGCUCAAGUAAGAAGCCAAGAAAGGGAUGCUAAAGUGACUCAAUUGGAGAAUCAAGUGGCUUCUUUGACGGAGAAAGUGAAUCGUUAUGAAAACUUGGAGGAGCAAAUGACUCAAUUGAUGCAACUAGUGCAAAAUCAGCAAAAUCAUUCUUCAGAAGCUAAUCAGGGUGGUUUCGGUUUACACCAUCAAUCUCCAACUCCUUACAGAUCACAUGCUUCAUCCCAUCAAGAAACUAGCAUAUAGCGGUACAUGCAGUGUUUUAAGGACUUCAUGGGCUAUUACAUGGUUGUUUUGAACAACCACAAUUAUUUUGGAACUAUUGUACUUUGUUUAUAAUAUUGUCAUAGUUUGGGUGGUUAUUUUUUUUUUUUUUGGUAUAGGUAGACAAGUGUUCUAUUACAAUCACAUAUAUUUUGGAAGUAUUGUACUUUGUUUAAUAUUGUCAUAGUUUAGGUGGUUGUUUUUUUUUGUAGAGA
This is a long non-coding RNA of Quercus lobata, 1052 nucleotides long. RefSeq lists it as uncharacterized. NCBI's taxonomy places the organism in Eukaryota, Viridiplantae, Streptophyta, Magnoliopsida, Fagales, Fagaceae. The record is from RefSeq and is a predicted model, not a curated record. The transcript is spliced from 4 exons.